AGCAGCCGCGGUAAUUCCAGCUCCAAUAGCGUAUAUUAAAGUUGUUGCAGUUAAAAAGCUCGUAGUUGAAUUUCGGGAUUGACGUGAUGGUCGUGCCUUACGGGGUAUGAACUGUUGCUGUUGAUUUCUCACCUUCUGGAGUAAACUUGAUGUCCUUAAUUGGGUGUCUUGCGGAUCCAGGACCUUUACCUUGAAAAAUUAGAGUGUUUAAAGCAGGCAUUUUGCUCGAAUACAUUAGCAUGGAAUAAUAGAAUAGGACGGCGUGGUUCUAUUUUGUGGUUUCUAGGAUCACCGUAAUGAUUAAUAGGGAUAGUUGGGGGCAUUAGUAUUCAAUUGUCAGAGGUGAAAUUCUUGGAUUUAUUGAAGACUAACUACUGCGAAAGCAUUUGCCAAGGAUGUUUUCAUUAAUCAAGAACGAAAGUUAGGGGAUCGAAGACGAUCAGAUACCGUCGUAGUCUUAACCAUAAACUAUGCCGACUAGGAAUCAGACGAUUGUUAAUUUUAAUGACUCGUUGCUAAC
This 520-nucleotide unclassified non-coding RNA is filed under the name uncultured Entrophospora. Its description in RNAcentral is "SSU rRNA". It matches the Rfam family "Eukaryotic small subunit ribosomal RNA", at positions 569 to 1086 of the family's 1831-position model. Lineage: Eukaryota; Fungi; Glomeromycota; Glomeromycetes; Entrophosporales; Entrophosporaceae. The record is from RNAcentral.